CGUAGUUACUUUGUUGCGCAUCAUUUGGUUUUCAAAACAUUGUUCCUGCUUAUUGUUGCCAGCCAUUUGCAUCUCAGGAUCAUUGUUGCUAGCCAUCGGGAUCGCGAAACAUUUGUUGGACUCAUUGUUGCUGGCGCUCACCAUCUGCCUCUCAGAACAUUGCUCGAUCUCAUUUUUGUUGUUGACAUUCAUUUUACAAGAUCCCGUUACUUUUCGCGAACCUUCUGUUUCUUGCAUUCCUUUGUAUGUAUGUGCAAACGUCGCCGUCAACGGGUCGCCGUCGUUGUCGCUGCCUCUUGCUGUCUCGUUUUCGCUACUUUCUUCUUAUCCGUUGUAGUUGUUUGCAUCCUUGUCCAAUUUACUGGUUUGUUCUGUGGCGUUGAUUUUUUUCAUUGCUGUUUUAUUUUUUCAAUACGCGGCCAUACUCAAAUUUAAUAUAUUCAAGUCUUUUAAUCAAUUCGAUUUUUGUGCCGCUACUUUUAAGUUUUUUUUUGCACGCACAGAGCUUUUAGUUCAUUUAAUGUAUAAUUGCCAGGAUUACAAUUCAUUAAUGCCGAUUUUUCUUUUUCUUUUGAAACGAUCACUUGGGUAGGUCCUACCACUUCUGAGCUUUAGAGUGCUCUCCGCGACAGCUCAACGACGACUGACUCUACAUUUAUUCAGCACGUGUGUAUAUACUAUUUACAUUCGCGAUUCUUAUAAUUAGUUCUUAAAUUCUAAUAUUGCAAUGGGGCUUAUACUACUUAAAAGCCUUAUAUACUUAUAUACAAUUACUACUACUACUUCUACUACUACACAAUCAAAUCUUUAGCUUGUCGAAGCAGCCAGACUAACACUUCCUAGCUUGAGAUCGACGGCUGCACACAAUUUUUGAAGAUCGAUAACGUUACCAAAGGGGGAAAUCGCCCUGAAGAACAUAGCUAAAUGGACACGCCUAAGCACUGCAAGAGAUCUUAGUCAUCAGCUUUGGGACCAAGGUUGGAGCAGCAGUCUUUCGCCUGGACUUGGCCCCACACCCAGUGAAGUGUUAAACGCCUUUUCAGUGGCUAAGCUGGCCUCUGCUAAUGUUUUUAUUGCGCAGAAACAACUAGAGACUGCAAAGGAAAAUGUGUUAAAUCAACAAAGAAUAGCCACUGAAAAGCAAACACAAGCUUUAAUAUUGAAACAAAAGUCUCAAGCAGCGUCUGCUAUAUACCACUCUGCGGCUAUUGAACGACAUCUUGCAGCAUCCAAGUCAGCGGUGGCACGUGCAGCUGCUAAUUUUGCUGCGGCUGAAAUUAAAAAAACUAAAAAUGAAGCUGCCAAGCUUGGCCACAUUACUCGAAAUGGUCAGCACGUUUUAUCCUUAUCGCCAGCAAGCAAUCAUUUGUCUAUAUCGUAUCUACAACCGGUUCACUUCAGUUCAUGGCUUAAUGGUCAGAGUCAUUUUUCUUAAAAGCUAUAAAAUAAACAAAACAUAUAUUGAAAUAAUCAAAAUAUCUCAUUUAGUUAUUUAAUGUAAAAGAUAUUCAUCCAUCAU
Molecule: long non-coding RNA, 1519 nt
Organism: Drosophila simulans
Lineage: Eukaryota; Metazoa; Arthropoda; Insecta; Diptera; Drosophilidae
Exons: 2
Source: RefSeq, a predicted model, not a curated record